RNAcentral lists this unclassified non-coding RNA (386 nucleotides) under fungal sp. RNAcentral's name for it is "partial internal transcribed spacer region". The stretch from base 1 to 45 matches the Rfam family "Eukaryotic small subunit ribosomal RNA", at positions 1787 to 1831 of the family's 1831-position model. The record is from RNAcentral. Lineage: Eukaryota; Fungi.
AGUCGUAACAAGGUUUCCGUAGGUGAACCUGCGGAAGGAUCAUUAAUGAAUUCAGCGGCGCAAGCUGCGAACCAUAAAACAUAUCCAAAACCGGCACCGAGCGGCGCCUGCGCGUCAUUGCGUGGGCGUUGCGCGUGUGCCAAACACCCCUUGUGAACUGUUAUUAUUUAUGCUGCCAUGAUGAUGACGAUGAUGACUUGAAUGUUGUGGUUGUUGUUGUGGCAGCAGCGUUUUGAACCUGUGAGUAUUUGUCUGAAAGAUUCUUAAAUCGUGCUCGCUUCUCGUGUGUCCGUCGUGCUUGUGUUUUGUAACGCAGCCGGCAGCGGCGAAAGCAGUGCGUGCGAACUAAUAGAGAACAACUUUUAACAAUGGAUCUCUUGGCUCUC